Molecule: transfer RNA, 49 nt
Filed under: Gammaproteobacteria bacterium
Lineage: Bacteria; Pseudomonadati; Pseudomonadota; Gammaproteobacteria
Description: tRNA-Leu
Rfam family: tRNA
About the family: Transfer RNA (tRNA) molecules are approximately 80 nucleotides in length. Their secondary structure includes four short double-helical elements and three loops (D, anti-codon, and T loops). Further hydrogen bonds mediate the characteristic L-shaped molecular structure. tRNAs have two regions of fundamental functional importance: the anti-codon, which is responsible for specific mRNA codon recognition, and the 3' end, to which the tRNAs corresponding amino acid is attached (by aminoacyl-tRNA synthetases). tRNAs cope with the degeneracy of the genetic code in two manners: having more than one tRNA (with a specific anti-codon) for a particular amino acid; and 'wobble' base-pairing, i.e. permitting non-standard base-pairing at the 3rd anti-codon position.
Source: RNAcentral
CGCCCUUACAAGGCGAGGGUCACUGGUUCAAGUCCAGUAUCGCCCACCA